UACAUAGGUAGAUGGUGGACUAUACAUAGGUAGAUGACCAGUAGAGUAUAAUCUUGUAUUGGUGGACUAUACAUAGGUAGAUGGUGGACUAUACAUAGGUAGAUGGUGGACUAUACAUAGGUAGAUGACCAGUAGAGUAUAAUCUUGUAUUGGUGGACUAUACAUAGGUAGAUGGUGGACUAUACAUAGGUAGAUGGUGGACUAUACAUAGGUAGAUGACCAGUAGAGUAUAAUCUUGUAUUGGUGGACUAUACAUAGGUAGAUGGUGGACUAUACAUAGGUAGAUGGUGGACUAUACAUAGGUAGAUGACCGGUAGAGUAUAAUCCUGUAUUGAUGGGUUAUACAUAGGUAGAUGACCGUUAGAGUAUAAUCUUGUAUUGGUGGACUAUACAUAGGUAGAUGGUGGACUAUACAUAGGUAGAUGGUGGGCUAUACAUAGGUAGAUGGUGGACUAUACAUAGGUAGAUGGUGGACUAUACAUAGGUAGAUGGUGGACUAUACAUAGGUAGAUGACCGGUAGAGUAUAAUCUUGUAUUGGUGGACUAUACAUAGGUAGAUGGUGGACUAUACAUAGGUAGAUGGUGGACUAUACAUAGGUAGAUGGUGGACUAUACAUAGGUAGAUGACUGGUAGAGUAUAAUCUUGUAUUGGUGGACUAUACAUAGGUAGAUGGUGGACUAUACAUAGGUAGAUGACCAGUAGAGUAUAAUCCUGUAUUGGUGGACUAUACAUAGGUAGAUGGUGGACUAUACAUAGGUAGAUGGUGGACUAUACAUAGGUAGAUGACCGGUAGAGUAUAAUCUUGUAUUGGUGGCUAUGAUUGUGUCCUUUGGACCGCCAUGCUGUGAUCAUCAUUGUUUUCGUACUGGUUGUGUUACAUCGCGGGUGUUUCCACUGACUAUGAUGAUGUAUGGUUGUUGUGACAGUUUGAGUUGUAAAAGCAUUAUCACCGAUCCUUCCUCACCAUGUGGCCUUUUUCAAACCUGAAUGAUUAAAAUUCGGUCAGGCAGAUUCUUUGGACCCCUAUGCAUAUCUUAUCUGUAGUAUGUCCACACCCAAGGUCGAGAAAAAUAUACCGAAUGAUUCUCUGAUUAGGUUGAAGUAUUGGGGGGUGGAGGGUCAUGGGGAGUUGGCCCUUUUGACCCUUAUAAAGUCCAGGUAAAUACCCGGUCACAUGUGGUAACAUAUCCCAUCAUAAAAUAGAUUGUUCAGAGUAGGAUUUGCUUCACCUUUUAGACGAAGAUCAAGGAUUUAUUUUUAUAGUUACCUAAAUUAAACUGUAAUCCAAAGUAUAACCUGUAUAUUGUAGACAGCUGAUUUUGUUAAUGUUAUUUUGAUCGCUUGGUCAGAUGUCCAAGUGUUGACAUAUGACUGAGUGACCGAUAAUAUAAUCAGCCUUACCUGCUGUGAAACAAUUAGAUGAGCAAACAUAUUUGGGCAAUAUAGUUGGUGCUCACAGUACUGAAUUACCAUUUAUGUAGGUAGCCUUAUUAGCCAACCGACGAACACGUGAGCAAACAGUUCUGGACAAGGUGUUUGACCGUCAUGUAAACUUGAAAAGAAUAUGUGUACCAUGCCCUACUUUGGAAUGCUGUGGACAAAAGUGGACAUUGGUCUUAUAAAUCGCGCCUGUUACAUGUUGAUUAAGAUAUAACCCAAGUUCAAGGGUUGUCGAGUUUUAAUACAUGAUGGUAUUUAAGAUUGACCACAAGUAUGUGUUGUAUGGCACAUCUAAAAUAGAACUAUCUGACCUGGUCUGGUGAAAUGUGACCACUCAUUCACGUGCCUACCUAUCUCGCUGUCCUGUUCAUACAUCAAUAAAUGACAUGGUCAGUUAUUCCCUUCACCUUUUGAAGUAAAACUUUAUCAUUUGUGGAUCAGAUUCCAGUUUAUAUAGGAUGGAUGAAAUCAUUUAAUUGUGAAAUUCAACUAGACCCAGGUCAACUUAGAUAAAAAAAAUGAGGAUAGUAGCAUAAUUUUCAUACAGAUUAGAAUUGAAACUGGUGAUUUUUUAAUUAUCAUACAAUUAACCAAGAUUCACUAAAAAUAUGU
This is a long non-coding RNA of Pecten maximus, 2053 nucleotides long. RefSeq lists it as uncharacterized. The transcript is spliced from 4 exons. The record is from RefSeq and is a predicted model, not a curated record. NCBI's taxonomy places the organism in Eukaryota, Metazoa, Mollusca, Bivalvia, Pectinida, Pectinidae.